AUUGAACGCUGGCGGCAGGCCUAACACAUGCAAGUCGAACGAGUGGCGGACGGGUGAGUAAUGUCUGGGAAACUGCCUGAUGGAGGGGGAUAACUACUGGAAACGGUAGCUAAUACCGCUUACCAUCGUAUGUGCCCAGAUGGGAUUAGCUAGUAGGUGGGGUAAAGGCUCACCUAGGCGACGAUCCCUAGCUGGUCUGAGAGGAUGACCGGCCACACUGGAACUGAGAAACGGUCCAGACUCCUACGGGAGGCAGCAGUGGGGAAUAUUGGACAAUGGGCGCAAGCCUGAUGGAGCAAUGCCGCGUGUAUGAAGAAGGCUUUCGGAUUGUAAAGCACUGUCAGCAGAGAAGCGUUAUCCGCAGAAGAAGCACCGGCUAACUACGUGCCAGCAGCCGCGGUAAUAC
RNAcentral lists this ribosomal RNA (406 nucleotides) under uncultured bacterium. Its description in RNAcentral is "partial 16S ribosomal RNA". It matches the Rfam family "Bacterial small subunit ribosomal RNA", at positions 30 to 526 of the family's 1533-position model. The record is from RNAcentral.